UAAUUCCUUAAUUUAGGUUUUAAUAUUAAUUCUGUAUUUCUAAAAGUCAAAGUUAAAGUUUGAUUUAAUCUUCAAAAUUAGUUUUUUAAUAAGUUUAUAUGUUUUAUAUUUAAAUUAUAUUUUUCAGUAAAAAGUAUUUUUAAAUGUUUUUAAUUUCAUUGAGUUAUUUAAUUAAUUUGGACAAAUAUUGUGCCAGCAGUUGCGGUUAUACAAUUCAAUUAAAUUAAUUUUUUAGUUUUUAUUAUUAAGUUUUGAUUUAAAUUAACUAAAAUUAGGUGAAAUUUUUUUUUUUAUUAAAUUCUAUUUUUAAUUAUUAUUAAGUUUUAAUUUUAAAUUAGGAUUAGAUACCCUAUUAUUCAUUUAUUUAAUUAUUUUCGUGGUAUUAAUAGUUAUGUUCUAUUAAAUUUAAAUGAUUUGGCGGUAAUUUAUAUUUAGGGGAACCUGUAAUUUAAUUGAUAAACCACGAUAUUUUUUACUUAAUAUUUAUUUGUAUAUCUCUAUAAUUUAAAUUUAUUUAAAGAUAGAUUUAUUCUUUUUUGAAAAGUGUUAGGUCAAGGUGCAGUUAUUUAAUUAAGUUGUUAUGGGUUACAUUAAAUAUUAAUUUCUUGGAUUUUAAUAAAUUAUUAUUAUUUAAAAUAGGAUUUAAUAGUAAAAUUAAAUUAUUAUUUAAUUUGAAUUUAAAUUAAAUUAUGUACAUAUUGCCCGUCGCUCUCAUUUAACUUGAGAUAAGUCGUAACAAAGUAAUUGUACUGGAAAGUGUAAUUAGAU
This 768-nucleotide non-coding RNA is filed under the name Illinigina sp. EMHAU-15062817. The record is from RNAcentral. Lineage: Eukaryota; Metazoa; Arthropoda; Insecta; Hemiptera; Cicadellidae.